This 794-nucleotide ribosomal RNA is filed under the name Arthrobacter sp. LMR249. RNAcentral describes it as "bacterial SSU rRNA". It matches the Rfam family "Bacterial small subunit ribosomal RNA", at positions 69 to 873 of the family's 1533-position model. Lineage: Bacteria; Bacillati; Actinomycetota; Actinomycetes; Micrococcales; Micrococcaceae. The record is from RNAcentral. RNAcentral also lists the same sequence under 1 other name.
AUGAUCCGGUGCUUGCACCGGGGAUUAGUGGCGAACGGGUGAGUAACACGUGAGUAACCUGCCCUUAACUCUGGGAUAAGCCUGGGAAACUGGGUCUAAUACCGGAUAUGACUGAUCAUCGCAUGGUGGUUGGUGGAAAGCUUUUUGUGGUUUUGGAUGGACUCGCGGCCUAUCAGCUUGUUGGUGAGGUAAUGGCUUACCAAGGCGACGACGGGUAGCCGGCCUGAGAGGGUGACCGGCCACACUGGGACUGAGACACGGCCCAGACUCCUACGGGAGGCAGCAGUGGGGAAUAUUGCACAAUGGGCGCAAGCCUGAUGCAGCGACGCCGCGUGAGGGAUGACGGCCUUCGGGUUGUAAACCUCUUUCAGUAGGGAAGAAGCGAAAGUGACGGUACCUGCAGAAGAAGCGCCGGCUAACUACGUGCCAGCAGCCGCGGUAAUACGUAGGGCGCAAGCGUUAUCCGGAAUUAUUGGGCGUAAAGAGCUCGUAGGCGGUUUGUCGCGUCUGCCGUGAAAGUCCGGGGCUCAACUCCGGAUCUGCGGUGGGUACGGGCAGACUAGAGUGAUGUAGGGGAGACUGGAAUUCCUGGUGUAGCGGUGAAAUGCGCAGAUAUCAGGAGGAACACCGAUGGCGAAGGCAGGUCUCUGGGCAUUAACUGACGCUGAGGAGCGAAAGCAUGGGGAGCGAACAGGAUUAGAUACCCUGGUAGUCCAUGCCGUAAACGUUGGGCACUAGGUGUGGGGGACAUUCCACGUUUUCCGCGCCGUAGCUAACGCAUUAAGUGCCCCGCC